UAUAUCUUUUCAACAUUUGACAUAACCCUGUAUGUUUUGUAGGGACAACCCAGGACGUGCAUUUCUCAGCACCCAGUCAACUGCCAGAAGCGACUCGAACACAGGCCACCAGUGGCACUCGGCUGUACCACUGCAGUGCUGCAGAAAUUGCCAGCACCAGCGGCUUUGCAACAGCUGUUUCACAGCAUGUCGGAGACAAUGCCUACGAAAUUAUUGGCCCUGAUGACGAGAGCCCUCAAGGGGCAAACGACAUCUCUGUUGCAGAAGUGAGCCCGAUACCACCUGAAGUUACCAUGACAGGUGGCACGGCAGCAAUAGAUACAGAGACGGCCAUGUCUACUGCAGCUGCAACAGUGUACGAGGCAAGCAGCAGUGUGUCAGCAUCAGCAGCAG
Molecule: long non-coding RNA, 393 nt
Organism: Dermacentor andersoni
Lineage: Eukaryota; Metazoa; Arthropoda; Arachnida; Ixodida; Ixodidae
Source: RefSeq, a predicted model, not a curated record